CAGAGAUAUAGCCUCAGGGAAAUGUCGUCUUUUAACCUGUUGUUGCAUUUAAAGUGCAUGUCUUCUCACCUUGUUGUACUGCACCCUGCAGUGGUACUUGCCCUUGUGGCCUUUCUUGAAUCUCUUCUGUAGCACUUGAGGGAUUUGGUCAUUUAGCAUCAUUUGCCCCCCUGCUUUUUUGUUUUGGGACUCUGUAUUGUCAUUGCUGCAGUGUUCUUGGCUUUGCUACAACAGCUCUGUGUGAUAGAAGUUUGUGAGCUGUCACUUCAUCCAGGCCAGUAGUCUGCCUGGUGAUGAAACUGUUUUCUCAUUUGCACAAAAUUACUCAACUGUGUGGUAUGUUGGGCUCAGUUGCAUUCUCUUUGAAGUCAAGACUAAAACUCCCAUUGAAAUUCAUGAGAAAAGGUAAGGCCAGCUGUAAAUCAAUACAAUAUUUCUUCAUUUCAGGCAUGGGGAGUGUGUAAUUGUGUGGUGUUCCAUUAUGUGCUCUAUAAUCAGCCUUGUCUGUGCUAUUCUGAUCCAAGAUCUUUCACUAGCAAACAUGGCUUUAGUCAGUACUGAAAUAUGUGGGGCGAACAUGCCCAGAUUUUUCAAAGUACAGGGUAGGCAGAAGCAAGAUGGCUGCAAUAGCAAACAGGACAGGCAUUUGUCUGCCUUUAGUGAUUCAGAAGAUGGGACCUGAACCAUGAUUUCCCACAUCCUCAUUGCUGUACAGCUGGGUCAUUUGUGUCAGUAUGAGUCUCAUUGGUUGCAGCUGCCCUAUGUGGAACAAAUAAAUGCUGAGUUCCUCAAAGGGAGGCCUUGGAGUUCAGUUACCACAGCUGAGGAUCUGAGUGCUGGGAGAGUCUCUUCUGCCAUGCUCUCACUGCUGUAUGUGCUUUGACAACCAUGAGUGACUCUAGGAGACAUCCUUGUCACAUCCAUGUGCAGUGUGGAGCAUUAAUGCAGCUCAGAAAAGAUUUUAUAUGCCUCUUCAUAAGUAUGAUCGUAGUAGAGGUGACUUCUCUGCCUGCCUGUGACAUUUGUAGCUGAGAAUAAAGUACCACUAACUGAAGGGGGGGAAAAGAAGUAGGACUUUCCUAGUAGGAUAAAUCUUGGCGCUUUAUCAGCUUUAAAACAAACCAUUGAUCACUUAACUUCAAAUAAUUCCCUUCCAACUGCUUCAAGAUUUUCUUCUCCUGAGGAUCAGAUACCUGUACCCAUAAGGAAGCCAGCUCUCUGAGAAUGUUUUGCACCUCUGCAUCAGAUACAGUCCAAUAUUAUGCUGGGAAACAGACACUACGUACCCACCCAUGAAUGGGACAGCGCAGACGCAUUGGGAAUGUUCCAACAGCAGGUUCCUGUAUCUGCACUGGGACUCAUACAGACUGCAGCCUUCCAAAGAGCUAUAGUUGAUGUGAGAUAAGGAAUUGUUUGUGCUUCAAAAGAAAUGGCAGUGUUUGGAAAUUUUGCUUUUGUUCUGGAUCAGAAUGAAAAACUGUCAACACCUCCUUUGAAGUGAAAAUGAAAAUUGAGACAAAACAUCAACAUGAGAAUCAGCACUUAACAUUAACAAAACACUUUGGUUCAUUUUGUGAGGUAAAAUAUUUUGGCUUGACUUUUACAGCUCUAUAAAUAUACCAAAAUUACUUGUCUUAUUUGCUAAAAGUUACAGUAUAGUCCAGAAACGUUUAACUAUUUUAGAACUGAAAUACUUUGAUCGCACUGACAUGAUGCUUUUUCAAGACAGGAGUGUCACAGAUGGACCUGCUCCUGCAGAGAUGUAUUUCCAUAAAAGGGAUGCUGUUCCUGAAUCCUUCUGACGCAGGUUAAUUGACCUGCUGUGCUGGUUGGGAUUGUGCAGAGCAGGUGCCUUCUCAGUACACACCUCUCAAAGAUCUCCUUCCUGUUCUGCUCAGUGCCUCUGAAGGGCAGCUUGUUUUGAAUACCAGAUUCCUCACACCUUAGGCUCCAGCUUUUUCUAGGUGUUAUGCACCAAGAUUGAACUGAUCUCACCUUCUGAUACUCCCCAGCCUUCCAGGUCUGUUAAAGGUCAUUUCCUCGGAGGAGGAGGGACAUUACUUGAAGUGGCAAUGAGGUACUUUAAAUGGGGAAAAAAAAUCUCAAUUUUGGGUGGUUCAGAAAUGCACAGCUUUUUAAUGUUAUUUUAUUGUACUGUGCUUGAGUUCGUG
Gallus gallus (chicken) is the source of this 2171-nucleotide long non-coding RNA. The record is from Ensembl. Lineage: Eukaryota; Metazoa; Chordata; Aves; Galliformes; Phasianidae.